GAUGAACGCUGGCGGCGUGCCUAAUACAUGCAAGUCGAGCGAACAGACGAGGAGCUUGCUCCUCUGACGUUAGCGGCGGACGGGUGAGUAACACGUGGAUAACCUACCUAUAAGACUGGGAUAACUUCGGGAAACCGGAGCUAAUACCGGAUAAUAUAUUGAACCGCAUGGUUCAAUAGUGAAAGACGGUUUUGCUGUCACUUAUAGAUGGAUCCGCGCCGCAUUAGCUAGUUGGUAAGGUAACGGCUUACCAAGGCAACGAUGCGUAGCCGACCUGAGAGGGUGAUCGCCCACACUGGAACUGAGACACGGUCCAGACUCCUACGGGAGGCAGCAGUAGGGAAUCUUCCGCAAUGGGCGAAAGCCUGACGGAGCAACGCCGCGUAAGUGAUGAAGGUCUUCGGAUCGUAAAACUCUGUUAUUAGGGAAGAGCAAAUGUGUAAGUAACUAUGCACGUCUUGACGGUACCUAAUCAGAAAGCCACGGCUAACUACGUG
RNAcentral lists this ribosomal RNA (497 nucleotides) under uncultured bacterium. RNAcentral's name for it is "partial 16S ribosomal RNA". It matches the Rfam family "Bacterial small subunit ribosomal RNA", at positions 28 to 507 of the family's 1533-position model. The record is from RNAcentral.